RNAcentral lists this ribosomal RNA (330 nucleotides) under uncultured eukaryote. Its description in RNAcentral is "partial 18S ribosomal RNA". It matches the Rfam family "Eukaryotic small subunit ribosomal RNA", at positions 1470 to 1796 of the family's 1831-position model. The record is from RNAcentral.
CCCUUAGAUGUUCUGGGCUGCACGCGCGCUACACUGAUACUUUCAGCGAGUCCACCACCUUGCCUGGGAGGGUGGAGUAACCUCUGGAAAGUGCAUCGUGAUGGGGAUCGAUUAUUGUAAUUAUUAAUCUUCAACGAGGAAUUCCUAGUAAGCGCGAGUCAUCAGCUCGCGCUGAUUACGUCCCUGCCCUUUGUACACACCGCCCGUCGCUACUACCGAUUGAAUGGUUUAGUGAGGCCUUCUGACUGGCGCCGCUACUCUGGCAACAGAGCGGCGGAUGCCGGGAAGUUGGUCAAACUUGAUCAUUUAGAGGAAGUAAAAGUCGUAACA